Molecule: unclassified non-coding RNA, 25 nt
Filed under: Mus musculus (house mouse)
Lineage: Eukaryota; Metazoa; Chordata; Mammalia; Rodentia; Muridae
Description: oocyte_clustered_small_RNA8863
Source: RNAcentral
UACCUAUGUGCACAUUUGGCAGAGG